RNAcentral lists this signal recognition particle RNA (290 nucleotides) under Larimichthys crocea (large yellow croaker). Its description in RNAcentral is "Metazoan signal recognition particle RNA (ENSLCRG00005023505.1)". It matches the Rfam family "Metazoan signal recognition particle RNA". From Rfam's summary of the family: The signal recognition particle (SRP) is a universally conserved ribonucleoprotein. The record is from RNAcentral. Lineage: Eukaryota; Metazoa; Chordata; Actinopteri; Sciaenidae.
GCCGGGUGCGGUGGCGCGCGCCUGUAUCCAAGCUACCGGGAGGCUGAGGCUGGCGGAUCGUUUGAGCUCCGGAGCUCUGAGCUGCAGCGGACUAUGUCGAUCGGGUGUCCGCACUAAGUUCGGUAUCGAAUGGUGCUCCUGGGGGAGCCCGGGACCACCAGGUGUCUAAGGAGGGGUGGCCGGCCCAGGUCGGAAACGGAGCAGUCAAAGCCCCGUGCCGCUCAGUAUGGGAUCGCGCCUGUGAAUAGCGCUGUGCGCAGCCUGAGUAACACAGCGGGACCCAGACUUUU